Molecule: ribosomal RNA, 124 nt
Filed under: uncultured bacterium
Lineage: Bacteria
Description: partial 16S ribosomal RNA
Source: RNAcentral
CCGGGGCUUCUUCUGCGGGUACCGUCAUCAUCUUCCCCGCUGAAAGAGCUUUACAACCCUAAGGCCUUCUUCACUCACGCGGCAUGGCUGGAUCAGGGUUGCCCCCAUUGUCCAAUAUUCCCCA